Molecule: long non-coding RNA, 1029 nt
Filed under: Mytilus galloprovincialis (Mediterranean mussel)
Lineage: Eukaryota; Metazoa; Mollusca; Bivalvia; Mytilida; Mytilidae
Source: RNAcentral
GUGGUUUUGGCACUAUUUAAACAGUUUUAUGUGUGUUUGAAUUUCAACCAACCAACCAACCAACCAACCAACCAACCAACCAACCAAUCAAUCAAUCAAUGUUUCCGUUUCAUGUGUUUGAUACGGGAUUCAAGGUCUCUUUUUUUUCGCUUGUUUUAAUUGAGCCUAUCAAACGUGUUUAACCAACAUAUUUAACCAAUAUGUUUAACCAACGUGUUUAACCAACAUGUUCAACCAACGUGUUUAACAAACCAACCAACCAAUCAAUGCAUGUUUCCGUUUCAUGUGUUAAAUACGGGAUCGAAGAUGUGUUUUUUUUCGCUUGUUUAAAUUGAGCCUAUCCAACGUGUUUAACCAGCCAACGUGUUUAACCAAUAUGUUUAACCAACAUGUUUAACCAACCAACCAACCAACCAACCAACCAACCAAUCAAUGCAUGUUUCCGUUUCAUGUGUUAAAUACGGGAUCCAAGAUGUGUUUUUUUUUCUCGCUUGUUUAAAUUGAGCCUAUCCAACGUGUUUAACCAGCCAACGUGUUUCACCAAUAUGUUUAACCAACGUGUUUAACCAACAUGUUUAACCAACGUGUUUAACCAACCAACCAACCAAUCAAUGCAUGUUUCCGUUUCAUGUGUUAAAUACGGGAUCCAAGAUGGUUUUUUUUCGCUUGUUUAAAUUGAGCCUAUCCAACGUGUUUAACCAGCCAACGUGUUUAACCAAUAUGUUUAACCAACGUGUUUAACCAACGUGUUUAACCAACCAACCAACCAACCAAUCAAUCAAUCAAUGCAUGUUUCCGUUUCAUGUGUUAAAUACGGGAUCCAAUUUUGAGCCUAUCCAAUGUGUUUAACCAACGUGUUUAACCAACGUGUUUAACCAACCAACCAACCAACAACCAACAAACCAACCAAUCAAUCAAUCAAUGCAUUUUCUGUUUCAUGUGUUAAAUACGGGAUCCGAGAUGUUUUUUUUCGCUUGUUAAAAUUGAGCCUAUCAAACGUGUUUAACCAACGUGUUUAACCAACGUUUU